GAGGAGCGGCUGGGACAGAGCGGCAAAUGACCCAGCUUUGUGAGCUGAUCAAUAAAAGCGGAGAACUGCUAGCAAAAAACCUUUCCCAUCUGGAUACAGUGCUUGGUGCCCUGGAUGUGCAGGAACACUCAUUAGGAGUUCUUGCUGUCUUGUUUGUGAAGUUUUCUAUGCCCAGCAUCCCCGACUUCGAAACAUUAUUCUCACAGGUGCAGCUCUUCAUCAGUACUUGUAAUGGGGAACACAUUAGAUAUGCAACAGACACUUGUAAGUUAAUUCAGCACUUUAUAG
This is a non-coding RNA of Meleagris gallopavo (turkey), 288 nucleotides long. The record is from RefSeq and is a predicted model, not a curated record. Lineage: Eukaryota; Metazoa; Chordata; Aves; Galliformes; Phasianidae.